AGCGGAGGAAAAGAAACCAACAGGGAUUGCCUCAGUAACGGCGAGUGAAGCGGCAACAGCUCAAAUUUGAAAUCUGGCCUCUGGCCCGAGUUGUAAUUUGCAGAGGAUGCUUCGGGCGCGGUGCCUUCCAAGUCCCCUGGAACGGGGCGCCGGAGAGGGUGAGAGCCCCGUACGGUUGGCGGCCAAGCCUGUGUGAAGCUCCUUCGACGAGUCGAGUAGUUUGGGAAUGCUGCUCUAAGCGGGAGGUAGACCCCUUCUAAAGCUAAAUACCGGCCAGAGACCGAUAGCGCACAAGUAGAGUGAUCGAAAGAUGAAAAGCACUUUGAAAAGAGGGUUAAACAGCACGUGAAAUUGUUGAAAGGGAAGCGCUUGCGACCAGACGUGCGCCGGGGUGUUCAGCGGGCGUUCUCGCCCGUGCACUCGCCUCGGCGCAGGCCAGCGUCGGUUUGGGCGGGGGGAUAAAGGCGUCUGGAAUGUGGCUCCCCCGGGAGUGUUAUAGCCAGGCGUGCCAUGCCUCCGCCCGGACCGAGGUACGCGUUCUGCAAGGACGCUGGCGUAAUGGUCUCCAGCGACCCGUCUUGAAACACGGACCAAGGAGUCGAGGUUUUGCGCGAGUGUUUGGGUGGAAAACCCGCACGCGUAAUGAAAGUGAACGUAGGUGAGAGCUUCGGCGCAUCACCGACCGAUCCUGAUGUUUUCGGAUGGAUUUGAGUAAGAGCGUAGGGCCUCGGACCCGAAAGAUGGUGAACUAUGCUUGGAUAGGGUGAAGCCAGAGGAAACUCUGGUGGAGGCUCGCAGCGGUUCUGACGUGCAAAUCGAUCGUCAAAUCUGAGCAUGGGGGCGAAAGACUAAUCGAACCAUCUAGUAGCUGG
Molecule: ribosomal RNA, 872 nt
Filed under: Chloridium virescens var. chlamydosporum
Lineage: Eukaryota; Fungi; Ascomycota; Sordariomycetes; Chaetosphaeriales; Chaetosphaeriaceae
Description: LSU rRNA
Rfam family: Eukaryotic large subunit ribosomal RNA
Source: RNAcentral